Molecule: long non-coding RNA, 1780 nt
Organism: Heterocephalus glaber (naked mole-rat)
Lineage: Eukaryota; Metazoa; Chordata; Mammalia; Rodentia; Bathyergidae
Source: Ensembl
UCUCCCUUUAAAUUUUUCAGUUUUUGGAGGCACCUCUUAAAGCUACAAAAGUCCUUCUAUAGCACCGCCUUCAAUGGGCCUCACAGAUUUGUCUAGAAUGUUUUCAUUAUCACCCAGAUCUACCUCUUACUGUCCUGCACGAUCUCCCUGGAAACCCAUGGGUUAUUUAGUAACAUCAUUUACUUCUCAGUAGUAUUUAUUGUAACCUUUGGUUUCUAAUUUAGUGGCAUUAUUUUCAGAGACAAAGUGUACUCAGUCAAGAUGCUGGCAGGAGGCAGUUGGCACUCAAACUGGGUAAUCUGAGUGUUUGACAGAGAGACCAUUAACACAGGUGUGGGCAGGAGGUCAGAGUCCCAGGGCCUGGCGGCUUCCAGCAGCCUUCAGCCUACAGGGGAGGAGGUACAGCCCUGAAGGGAGAGGACAGCACCCCACUGCCUCCCCUGAGCUGAAUGUGAAGGGGAGCUGGAGCAGGAGCUCCUUGCAGCACAGUGCACUUAGGGCUCUCCCAAACAACGGGCAAAGGAACCACAUGCACAAACAAGCGGGAGUCCGUGUCUGUGUGGGGCUGCAGCUCUGGGACCCAAGGCCUCCUUGGGUCCUAAUAUGGGGUUCAUCUCUAUGAAUGCUCUAUCUGUGCACCAAACAGUAUCUUUGCUGUGUGGUGAGGACAGUUUUGUAUAUAUUUACUAGUUCAAGAUUACUAAUUAUAUUGAUCAAGGGUUGAGGAUCUUUGCUAAGUUUUGUCAGCUUGAGCUGUUAAUUUUAUUUUAAUGAAAACCUGGGGGCAGGGCAUUUAGCUCAGUGGUUCCAGCGCCUGCCUCAAAAGCGCAAGGUCCCAAGUUCAAUCCCCGAUACCAAAAAAAAACCCCUGAAUUAUAAGCUAAAGAUGUAGCUCAGAUUUAGAGCUUUUCUAGCAUGCACAAACCCUGAUGUGAUCCCCAGCACCACACACACACUCACACGCACACUCACACGAUCUCCAGUUACAAUUGGAGGAUUGUACUUCUCCCCGGCCCUGCAGAUGUUGCUGGAUUUGAGUGUUGUAUAUUAAGAUGUCGGCCUCGUUUCCUGUCGUUCAUAUUUGCCUGGUCCCCUUGGGUCACGCCUCCGAUGUGCUGUGGAAGCGUGCUCACCUGAGAGCCACGCUCCUCACUCCCCUGUGGACCCCAAACAACCAAGUGGGGGGCUCACUUUGCACGAAGCCUGCCACAGCAGCUGUAGGGCUGUGGCUCCAAACGCAAGCCCCACUGACCACCAGCCCCAGCUGCUGCCCUUGGGAUCCCCCUUGGUAUUAAAGCAUGGCCACCUCCUCCUGGCCACUCCCAGUCAAAGGUGGGGUGCAGCAGGGUCCUCGUGCUGACCUUUCCCGCCCACUGCCAACUCCUCUGCUGGACAGUGCCAUCAGGACCUGAAACAGCCUGGCCAGGACCUCUGGGAAAGGGACCCUGGCCUGGGACCAUCCACCCCGGCCUCCUCCAGCAUCUGUCUCCAUGCGCUGCCUCCUGUCAAUCAUAGGCACAACCCCCACCUCAGCCCAUCUCAGCCUCCGCUUCUCAGAGGGCUGCUCACGCUCACCCUGGGAACGUGUCUCUCUCCAUGUCCUCAGGGGCCCAAGGCAGGACAAAGGCACAGGUCCAGGACACAGAGCGGCCUCCAGGGCUCGAGGACCCUGCUCCCCUCUGUCCCAAGGCCUCUCUUGCUCUGCACUUGCUGUGUGGGGUGUUUCUGAUUUGCUAUUUGAUGUCAUUCUUAGUAAAGAAAAAUUAAAAUUUUGACAUUG